Molecule: long non-coding RNA, 482 nt
Organism: Eleginops maclovinus (Patagonian blennie)
Lineage: Eukaryota; Metazoa; Chordata; Actinopteri; Perciformes; Eleginopidae
Exons: 3
Source: RefSeq, a predicted model, not a curated record
GUGUACUUAUGAGUACUUUUAGGAGUAGAAUAAGUACAUUUAGAUAUGAAGCAGUCUCAUGUUAAAUCAGGACGAUUCUCCUCUUUUUGGAUUUAGCCGUUUAAGGUGAAGAUUUCAACGACGUUGUAUAAUCUAACGUCACUCAUCAUGAUCGAUAUCUCAAACCUAAAGGACAUUUUUUUCUAUAACAAUCACGACAACAAAAGAUGAGGUAAUGAUCACAGAGGAAGUCCAGAGGGAAGGACGUGCUCUUUUGUCCUCUCUCUUUGUGGUGGAUAUCAUCCUACAGAGGACAGGAGGGAGACGUGUCGGGGGGGAUUAUUUCAAGGUGAAAGGUUAACGGGAGAGGCUGACAGACUAAAUUAAUGGGAUUAUGCGUCAUCUCGUCUGGAUCUCAAUGUGUCAGGGAGAAAAUCCCCGUAGUGAUUUCAGCUGGAAAAAGACAGACAGGAUUAGAUUCCAUUCAUUAUGUUAAACUGAAU